RNAcentral lists this ribosomal RNA (1685 nucleotides) under Klebsiella pneumoniae. RNAcentral's name for it is "partial 23S ribosomal RNA". It matches the Rfam family "Bacterial large subunit ribosomal RNA", at positions 1 to 1722 of the family's 2925-position model. The record is from RNAcentral. Lineage: Bacteria; Pseudomonadati; Pseudomonadota; Gammaproteobacteria; Enterobacterales; Enterobacteriaceae.
GGGUUGUGAGGUUAAGCGACUAAGCGUACACGGUGGAUGCCCUGGCAGUCAGAGGCGAUGAAGGACGUGCUAAUCUGCGAAAAGCGUCGGUAAGGUGAUAUGAACCGUUAUAACCGGCGAUGUCCGAAUGGGGAAACCCAGUGUGAUUCGUCACACUAUCGUUAACUGAAUACAUAGGUUAACGAGGCGAACCGGGGGAACUGAAACAUCUAAGUACCCCGAGGAAAAGAAAUCAACCGAGAUUCCCCCAGUAGCGGCGAGCGAACGGGGAGCAGCCCAGAGUCUGAAUCAGCUUGUGUGUUAGUGGAACGGUCUGGAAAGUCCGACGGUACAGGGUGAUAGUCCCGUACACCAAAAUGCACAGGCUGUGAACUCGAAGAGUAGGGCGGGACACGUGGUAUCCUGUCUGAAUAUGGGGGGACCAUCCUCCAAGGCUAAAUACUCCUGACUGACCGAUAGUGAACCAGUACCGUGAGGGAAAGGCGAAAAGAACCCCGGCGAGGGGAGUGAAAAAGAACCUGAAACCGUGUACGUACAAGCAGUGGGAGCACCUUCGGGUGUGACUGCGUACCUUUUGUAUAAUGGGUCAGCGACUUAUAUUCUGUAGCAAGGUUAACCGUAUAGGGGAGCCGCAGGGAAACCGAGUCUUAACUGGGCGUUAAGUUGCAGGGUAUAGACCCGAAACCCGGUGAUCUAGCCAUGGGCAGGUUGAAGGUUGGGUAACACUAACUGGAGGACCGAACCGACUAAUGUUGAAAAAUUAGCGGAUGACUUGUGGCUGGGGGUGAAAGGCCAAUCAAACCGGGAGAUAGCUGGUUCUCCCCGAAAGCUAUUUAGGUAGCGCCUCGUGAACUCAUCUUCGGGGGUAGAGCACUGUUUCGGCUAGGGGGUCAUCCCGACUUACCAACCCGAUGCAAACUACGAAUACCGAAGAAUGUUAUCACGGGAGACACACGGCGGGUGCUAACGUCCGUCGUGAAGAGGGAAACAACCCAGACCGCCAGCUAAGGUCCCAAAGUCAUGGUUAAGUGGGAAACGAUGUGGGAAGGCACAGACAGCCAGGAUGUUGGCUUAGAAGCAGCCAUCAUUUAAAGAAAGCGUAAUAGCUCACUGGUCGAGUCGGCCUGCGCGGAAGAUGUAACGGGGCUAAACCAUGCACCGAAGCUGCGGCAGCGACACUAUGUGUUGUUGGGUAGGGGAGCGUUCUGUAAGCCUGCGAAGGUGACCUGUGAGGGUUGCUGGAGGUAUCAGAAGUGCGAAUGCUGACAUAAGUAACGAUAAAGCGGGUGAAAAGCCCGCUCGCCGGAAGACCAAGGGUUCCUGUCCAACGUUAAUCGGGGCAGGGUGAGUCGACCCCUAAGGCGAGGCCGAAAGGCGUAGUCGAUGGGAAACAGGUUAAUAUUCCUGUACUUGGUGUUACUGCGAAGGGGGGACGGAGAAGGCUAUGUUAGCCGGGCGACGGUUGUCCCGGUUUAAGCAUGUAGGCUGGUUGUCCAGGCAAAUCCGGAUAAUCAAGGCUGAGGUGUGAUGACGAGGCACUACGGUGCUGAAGUAACAAAUGCCCUGCUUCCAGGAAAAGCCUCUAAGCAUCAGGUAACAUCAAAUCGUACCCCAAACCGACACAGGUGGUCAGGUAGAGAAUACCAAGGCGCUUGAGAGAACUCGGGUGAAGGAACUAGGCAAAA